RNAcentral lists this ribosomal RNA (661 nucleotides) under uncultured Alphaproteobacteria bacterium. Its description in RNAcentral is "bacterial SSU rRNA". It matches the Rfam family "Bacterial small subunit ribosomal RNA", at positions 46 to 751 of the family's 1533-position model. Lineage: Bacteria; Pseudomonadati; Pseudomonadota; Alphaproteobacteria. The record is from RNAcentral.
GCUUAACACAUGCAAGUCGAGCGGGCGUAGCAAUACGUCAGCGGCAGACGGGUGAGUAACGCGUGGGAACGUACCUUUUGGUUCGGAACAACACAGGGAAACUUGUGCUAAUACCGGAUAAGCCCUUACGGGGAAAGAUUUAUCGCCGAAAGAUCGGCCCGCGUCUGAUUAGCUAGUUGGUAGGGUAAUGGCCUACCAAGGCGACGAUCAGUAGCUGGUCUGAGAGGAUGAUCAGCCACAUUGGGACUGAGACACGGCCCAAACUCCUACGGGAGGCAGCAGUGGGGAAUAUUGGACAAUGGGGGCAACCCUGAUCCAGCCAUGCCGCGUGAGUGAUGAAGGCCCUAGGGUUGUAAAGCUCUUUUGUGCGGGAAGAUAAUGACGGUACCGCAAGAAUAAGCCCCGGCUAACUUCGUGCCAGCAGCCGCGGUAAUACGAAGGGGGCUAGCGUUGCUCGGAAUCACUGGGCGUAAAGGGUGUGUAGGCGGGUCUUUAAGUCAGGGGUGAAAUCCUGGAGCUCAACUCCAGAACUGCCUUUGAUACUGAAGAUCUUGAGUUCGGGAGAGGUGAGUGGAACUGCGAGUGUAGAGGUGAAAUUCGUAGAUAUUCGCAAGAACACCAGUGGCGAAGGCGGCUCACUGGCCCGAUACUGACGCUGAGG